RNAcentral lists this transfer RNA (73 nucleotides) under Salinisphaera hydrothermalis C41B8. RNAcentral describes it as "tRNA-OTHER". The record is from RNAcentral. Lineage: Bacteria; Pseudomonadati; Pseudomonadota; Gammaproteobacteria; Salinisphaerales; Salinisphaeraceae.
UGGGGCGUAGCCAAGCGGUAAGGCAUCGGGUUUUGAUCCCGUGAUUCGCAGGUUCGACGACCUCGCGAAGCGA